Pelobates cultripes (western spadefoot toad) is the source of this 201-nucleotide non-coding RNA. Lineage: Eukaryota; Metazoa; Chordata; Amphibia; Anura; Pelobatidae. The record is from the annotation of a GenBank genome assembly.
AAGUAGUCAAUCUGUUUUAUUCAGUGUGACAUUUACUUGGGUCCACCGGGCAUCUACAAUCUGGCCUCCUUUUCUGAUAUAUCCAAAGCGAAAGUCUCAAGGUUUAAUUUUAUUCGGGCCGCACAAUAAACAAACUUAAAUUUUCAUAGAAACGUAGGUCUAUUUUGAAAAAUACAGUAUAAACCCCCGCCCCCCAAAAAC